Long non-coding RNA from Triticum aestivum (bread wheat), 3514 nucleotides. RefSeq lists it as uncharacterized. The transcript is spliced from 6 exons. The record is from RefSeq and is a predicted model, not a curated record. Lineage: Eukaryota; Viridiplantae; Streptophyta; Magnoliopsida; Poales; Poaceae.
UGCGCGGUGUUGCGUCUCGUCUGCAUUUGCAGUUGGAGACAGAAGAUGGACUGCAGCUACUCGAUGCAUCGUGCGUGCCUCACCUCCAUCUGCACUUGGACAGAGAGAUGGACUGGCGCCUAUGACGCCAUGGUCGACUCCGCGGCCGUCGCCGUCGGCGAGCCCGGGUGCACGGUGGCGCUCACGGACCACCACUGCUGCGUCGACGCUUCAGCGAGUCCUGCGACCGAGCCGAGGGCCUCGUCCAGGUGGCCGCCGCCGGCCUCGGCCCCGCCGCCUCCCGCCACAACGAGCUGUUCCGCGCGCUCGUGGACCUCCACCGCUGCCUCGACGCCUUCAGCGAGUCCCGCGACCGAGCCAAGGGCCUCGUCCAGGCGGCUGCCAUGGCCCCGCCGCCUCCCACCACGACAAGCGGUUCCGCGCCGUGCGCGUGGUCGACGAAGAUCUCCGGGCCGCCGCUGCCGGCUGGGAGGAGAACGAGAUGGAAGAGGAGAAGAAUCGCCCUCCGACCACGCUGCUGGCAGCCGAGGACAAAUAGGCCAAUCGAUCUACCUCGUCUCCUAUUCAGGUGAUGUUUAUCAUUCUUGUUUUUUCCAUGUGAUGUUCAUCGUUCCUCUUAUUUUCUCGGUUGAUGUGCUAAUCAUGUUAGUCUUCUAAAAGAUGAAUGAAAUUGUGACGGGAAAGGAGAGAUGGACCGGGAUGUUUUGCCUCGGCGUGCCACAUGGUGGCCGAGAUGCGGCAGCCCCAUGCUCUGUUCUGAUGGGCCUCCUCUGGUCGAUGGUUGCCGCUGGUUGAGUUUGGUACGGUUUCCUGUUGUCGCUUGCGUCGAGCCCUGGGUCCGUCUCUCCUUCUCAUUGAGCCUACUUCUCCUGUCGCUGGCGCUUCUUCUUAUCGUCCGUCCUGCUGCUUAACCAGCGUGCUUCUGCUUGCUGCCUCGGGUUGUACGAUCUCUUCUGUCGCUGCGUCGUUCGACUCAUCAAGGUUUUCUUCUUUCCUUUCUACUACAUGUGUGUGUUAUACUUUCAGUAUCUUCUGUGUCAUGUCUGCCUUGGUGAUCUUUUAAAUAUCUGUAUGUCAUGCUGAUCGUUUAAAUGUUCCGGAUAUGGUCGGGCGUUGUGUGUUGUUCUUUCUCGUGCUGCUUAUAUUUUGUGUAUGCGUGUGAGCAGGAUGUGUAUUCUUGUUUCCGUUGUUAUACCAGUUUUGGAGGCCGUGGUAACUCGAUGCCCCCCGCGCUCACUCUUUCUGUUGUACACAGAAGCGUAUUUGUCCAAUUCUCAGACUAAGUUUUUGAAAGAAACCGCAGUUCAUUACAAUGCCAAUUAUGGAUAUGGAUCCAUCUUGCUGUGCUGGAUGAAGGACUGGAUGUAAUAAGAAUUGCAUGUGACAAACAGGUGCCUCCUCUAUGCAUAAAGUUUUGCUAAUAUCAUUGAAUUUCUCCUGAGAUCUCUCUAGACCUUUCCAAAUGUAUUUUAGUUAGGUGUUUGUAUUAACUAGCAGAAGAAGGGAUGCAAAUGGAAAGAAUUUGAGAUGCAUAAACAUAAAAGCACUAAAAGAUUUGCUUGAAGCAAAGAUGUCUAGCCGGCAUACAUAUGGCAAGAACCUUCAGAGAUUGUCUUCUUUUCAGCUGCUAUUCAGAUAUAUACUUGCUCAUAGGUCACAACUCAUGAAGUUACUUCUUUUGGUUUUGAUUUUGAAAUAUAUGUGUCAUAGGUCACGACUGAUGAAGUUACUUCCUUUUGGUGAAGGUCUGAAUAUCAUCAGGGUCUUGGCUGAGAGGCUGACAUUUCGGAAGGUUCUCGUCUGUAUAGAUUAGUUGAUAGAAUGACAGUUUAAGUUUAUUGAAGCUCUUCUCUAGGAGGCGGGUUCUGCUUUGAUUUCUUGCUAUUUGCAGUUCGAUGCAUGUGGUAUCCCAUAUGAAAUUUUACAAUUUGUUUUAGCUUUUGUAGUUUUCUAUUCAUUAUCCCUACCCAUUGUGAUGUGUAUGUUGAUAUGCUUCAUGGAUAGAGGGAUUUAAUAUCACUUGCUUCUCAGUCUUCUCCACCCUCGACAUGCGUAGGCCAAAAAGGCGGAGACGAGUCAUGGAUCCUCCAGGCUAUGGCUGCUGGUUGCAGACAGGGUUUAAGCACAGGAAUCGCAAAAGUUGUGCCCCAUGAGGCCAGCGACCCCCAUGUGGCCAGCAACUAAAGGCCAGAUUCAUUUUCGUUGAAUGUAACCUGCCUGACAGUAAAUUAGUGUCACAUUGGUAGUUGCCGAUCUUUUAAAAUUUGAUUAACUAAUUUGGGAUCUAACAGAUUCUGUAGUUGUCUGUUGUUUCUUAUUUGCAGGUUAUCUUUAGCUUGGAAAAAAAUGAAUGGACGAGCUUCAGUAUGACAAGGAGAAAGCAAUCUUGUUCAGUUUUAAUCAGAACAGAUGAAGGACAACCAUGUAAAAGAUUCAACAUUUGGCUAAUUCUGGUUUCUGGUAAUGCUUUCUUGACAGUGGAGCAGUCAUGGGCCUGUUAUAGAGAUCUUGGUGAAGAACUCGUCACUGCAAUUUUGUCAAAUGGGCGUUGAGAUUGAAGUUUCUGCUUUUGUUGACUUUCUGAUAAAUUACAACAACAUCGACAAGGUAAAGUUAUGCUUCCUUGCUGUCUGAUGUAUCAUGUUUUUUAUGGUAAAGGGAUAACAAUUUAUAUGUGUGUAGGUUAUGUGGGAGCCUUUCAUAGAGCCCUCAUAUAUUUAGUUAAAUAUACUUUGAAAUGUGUUGAUCAUGCACUGGAUGUAUCUCCCAGUACUGUGUGUUGCUAAAUUCAAGCAAUCAGCUUAAUGUUAACAUAUCAGAGCCCUUGAUCGAGGUACAUGAUCUUGGCAUACUGUAUUUUUCAAACUUGCCAAGAGAUAAAUUAUUCUUCUGUCCUAUCUUCAAGUGAUUAACAUUAGUAGUUUUCUGCUGGCACUAUCAUCUUGAUUAAUGUGAUUCAGGAAUCAAGGCAGUGGUCUGCAGAUAGAAUGUAGCUACAUAUCUUAUCUCAGGGAGCAUUACACCUAUUUAGCUUAGAAGUUUUUUUCUUACAUUAAACUCAGCAGUGUGUGAUAAUUCGAGUCUCCAUGGAAGCAUCAGCCGGAUUUGGCCGGCUCACAUACGCACGCCUCCUCUUUCCCUGGUGGCUCAUGGAAGCGGCGGCGUACGAUGAUGGCUUCCAUAUGGAGUAGAGGAAUCAUCACAGAUGGUUCUUAUGUUACAUGUCCAAAGGAGAGCAUUGUUUCACGGAAGCAUGGGAUAACACCCACGCCAGUGACCAGUGAAGAAAGGGCUCAUGAACAAGAUGAAUAACUUUCAACCAUUUUAUGUUUACAGGGAAAGACACUUUUUGUUAAAUUAGUCUUGUCGAUUUUCGUCUGUGUUAUUGUAUUCUAUCUCUUCUAUUAUAUCCAAAUCACUAUAUGAUGUAAUUGACCACUCUUAUUAAGAACUGGGCACAGUGGUUUAUGUGUAUAUACAUCUAUUGUAGAUAGCAAGCCCCCGCUUUCCUCAA